Molecule: long non-coding RNA, 1782 nt
Filed under: Triticum aestivum (bread wheat)
Lineage: Eukaryota; Viridiplantae; Streptophyta; Magnoliopsida; Poales; Poaceae
Description: long non-coding RNA (TAES_LNC020794)
Source: RNAcentral
GUUUGCACAAACUUGGUGCCACGGCUUGUCGUGUGCCUCGCCAAAAUAAACAAGUACUAUUGUAUUAUCGUUAUUUUCCUUAUAUAAGAAAACUCAACAUAACGCGUUUUGGUUGCCUGCUGUCAGUCAAGCUAAUAGACUAUCAGGAAAAAGAAUCCAGAAACAAUCGUAGAAUAUACUGCACGCAUUUGGACAACGUGCUGUUCUGCAGAUACAGUGUCUCCCUGGACACAAAAGGAGCAAACCGAGAAUAAUCACUUGAUCAGAGCAUCAAACAGAACCAGAUAUUUCUUCUCCACGAACACGUAUGGUCCAAGCUUAGCUAGAGACGCACACGCACUCUGAAAUUUUCAGACAAAGACAACUAAUUUUAUAUGAAAUCCUGCGCGUUUGACAUCCACUUAAAAAAGCUUUUGCUCAUGAUUUUGUCCUUUGCACAAUCUGAAGAGGCAUGUCGUUUUUGCUGCCUCCGGUGGAGAUGGAGUGGAUGCCCCAAUAAACAGUCGCCAAUUUGGUUAGGCCAUCAAGGCCGCCGCCGACCGAUCGACGUCAACAACACACCGGACCUGAUAGGGCGGGCAUGCGUUGAUCCAGGUGUCCAUCCAUCUCUGGCCUGAAUCAGUGGCUUUGGCACUACAAGCGGCUCAUUUAGUGGCUAAUAAUUCUUGUUUCAUGUUGUAAAAAGUUCAGAGUGGGGGCUGCGUGUCCACCUGUACCUUCAGGCUGAAAUGGCGGCCGAGUGCGUGACCGACCAGGGGGUCCUUUCAAGCUACCUGCAACAAGCACCCGCAGACGCACGCGCGCACGAAUCAGCUCGGAAAUAUCUAUACAGAAAAGAAGAAGAGGAAAAUCAGUUUUGUAUGGGCUCAUUUGAUUUGCAGAAUUCUAAAAACCUAGGAAUAAAAAACACAUAAAUAUGAUAGAAAUGCAUGUACAAAACGGAGGGAUUCUAUAAACUUUCAUGUUUAAUUCACAGGAAUAAGAAAAAUACAAAAAUCCUACUCCCUUCGAUCCAAACUGUUAAGGAUUAAUUAAAUCCUAAUAAUCAAUGCUUAGGUCGGUUGUUUAGUUUAAUGUAAUUACCGCCUCUGUACAUGGGUAUAAAUACCCUAUUCUUCAGUCAGUGCAGUUACUGUUCAAUCCAUUCGUUCCUCUCUCUCUUUUUCUUCUUUACACGUUAUCAACACUUUGCCCUAACCUGGAGCGAGCGAUUAGGCCACCCACAUCAAUCCGUCACCGGCGACGUCCUUGAUGCCCGAGAGGCAGCAAGGUUUCUCCGACACGACCGGAUGCCCAGCGUUCCUUGACGCAUCUCGUUGUCCCCGGCGGCAGCCCACGCCCUCCGGCGCGUGGUGCGAGCACGCCGCACCCUGCAGAGCGGCACGGCGGCGCAGGUCUCCAGACGGCGCGUGGUCGCGUGGCCUCGACCUCCCGCAUCAGCCGGAGGCGUUCGCGGCACAGGCGCAGGCGCUGCGAGUCUCUCGAUCAGGGAAGAAACCAGAUGCAAAGAGAAAGAAAGCACAAAAUUCAGAGAAAGGUCAAGAACAGCAGAACGGCAAGGGGAUCAGAAGAAAACAUACAAGAUCCAUGUGACACAUCUCGUACAAAACGACAAUAAUGCAAAGACCAACUCUGCAUCAUACAUCAAUCAGGUGAUUCAAUUCCGAAUUUGUUAUACUAACCUCUAGUGCAUCGUUUUUAAUGUCGUCCAAAGCAAACUUCGGCAGCAACCCAUGGCCCGGUCGACGUUUACCUCGGCUAGGCUCCUCGCGGAGCGGCGAC